UUGGUUAAGUUAGAAAGGGCGCACGGUGGAUGCCUUGGCACUAGGAGCCGAAGAAGGACGGGACUAACACCGAUAUGCUUUGGGGAGCUGUACGUAAGCGUUGAUCCAGAGAUUUCCGAAUGGGGGAACCCACUAUCUUUAGUCGGAUAGUAUCCUUACGUGAAUACAUAGCGUGAGGAAGGCAGACCCAGGGAACUGAAACAUCUAAGUACCUGGAGGAAGAGAAAGAAAAAUCGAUUUCCUGAGUAGCGGCGAGCGAAACGGAAAGAGCCCAAACCAAGAAGCUUGCUUCUUGGGGUUGUAGGACACUCUAUACGGAGUUACAAAAGAAAGUUAUAAAUGAAGCGGUCUGGAAAGGCCCGCCAAAGACGGUAACAGCCCGGUAGUUGAAAUGGCUUUCCCUCCAGAGUGGAUCCUGAGUACGGCGGAACACGUGAAAUUCCGUCGGAAUCCGGGAGGACCAUCUCCCAAGGCUAAAUACUCCCUAGUGACCGAUAGUGAACCAGUACCGUGAGGGAAAGGUGAAAAGCACCCCGGAAGGGGAGUGAAACAGUUCCUGAAACCGUGUGCCUACAAGUAGUUAGAGCCCGUUAAUGGGUGAUAGCGUGCCUUUUGUAGAAUGAACCGGCGAGUUACGAUUUGUUGCAAGGUUAAGCGGAAAAAGCGGAGCCGUAGCGAAAGCGAGUCUGAAUAGGGCGCAUAAGUAACAGGUCGUAGACCCGAAACCAGGUGAUCUACCCAUGUCCAGGAUGAAGGUAAGGUAAUACUUACUGGAGGUCCGAACCCACGCACGUUGAAAAGUGCGGGGAUGAGGUGUGGGUAGCGGAGAAAUUCCAAUCGAACUUGGAGAUAGCUGGUUCUCUCCGAAAUAGCUUUAGGGCUAGCCUCGAGGUAAAGAGUCAUGGAGGUAGAGCACUGUUUGGACUAGGGGCCCUUCUCGGGUUACCGAAUUCAGAUAAACUCCGAAUGCCAUGUACUUAUACUCGGGAGUCAGACUGCGAGUGAUAAGAUCCGUAGUCGAAAGGGAAACAGCCCAGACCACCAGUUAAGGUCCCCAAAUAUAUGUUAAGUGGAAAAGGAUGUGGGGUUGCUUAGACAACCAGGAUGUUGGCUUAGAAGCAGCCACCAUUGAAAGAGUGCGUAAUAGCUCACUGGUCGAGUGACCCCGCGCCGAAAAUGUACCGGGGCUAAACAUAUUACCGAAACUGUGGAUGAACCUCUUUAGAGGUUCGUGGUAGGAGAGCGUUCUAAGGGCGGUGAAGUCAGACCGGAAGGACUGGUGGAGCGCUUAGAAGUGAGAAUGCCGGUAUGAGUAGCGAAAGAAGGGUGAGAAUCCCUUCCACCGAAUAUCUAAGGUUUCCUGAGGAAGGCUCGUCCGCUCAGGGUUAGUCGGGACCUAAGCCGAGGCCGAUAGGCGUAGGCGAUGGACAACAGGUAGAGAUUCCUGUACCAGUGCUAAUUGUUUAACCGAUGGGGUGACACAGAAGGAUAGGGAAUCGCACGAAUGGAAAUGUGCGUCCAAGCAGUGAGUGUGAGAAGUAGGCAAAUCCGCUUCUCGCGAAGCAUGAGCUGUGAUGGGGAAGGAAAUUAAGUACGGAAGUUCCUGAUUUCACGCUGUCAAGAAAAGCCUCUAGGAAGAGUAGUACUGCCCGUACCGCAAACCGACACAGGUAGAUGAGGAGAGAAUCCUAAGGUGAGCGAGAGAACUCUCGUUAAGGAACUCGGCAAAAUGACCCCGUAACUUCGGGAGAAGGGGUGCUCUAUUAGGGUGCAAGCCCGAGAGAGCCGCAGUGAAUAGGCCCAGGCGACUGUUUAGCAAAAACACAGGUCUCUGCAAAACCGUAAGGUGACGUAUAGGGGCUGACGCCUGCCCGGUGCUGGAAGGUUAAGAGGAGUGCUUAGCUUCGGCGAAGGUACGAAUUGAAGCCCCAGUAAACGGCGGCCGUAACUAUAACGGUCCUAAGGUAGCGAAAUUCCUUGUCGGGUAAGUUCCGACCCGCACGAAAGGCGCAACGAUCUGGGCACUGUCUCAACGAGAGACUCGGUGAAAUUAUAGUACCUGUGAAGAUGCAGGUUACCCGCGACAGGACGGAAAGACCCCGUGGAGCUUUACUGCAACCUGAUAUGGAAUGUUUGUACCGCUUGUACAGGAUAGGUAGGAGCCGAAGAGACGUGUGCGCU
Molecule: ribosomal RNA, 2181 nt
Filed under: Listeria monocytogenes
Lineage: Bacteria; Bacillati; Bacillota; Bacilli; Caryophanales; Listeriaceae
Description: partial 23S ribosomal RNA
Rfam family: Bacterial large subunit ribosomal RNA
Source: RNAcentral